ACGAACGCUGGCGGCGUGCCUAAUACAUGCAAGUCGAACGCACUCUCGUUUAGAUUGAAGGAGCUUGCUCCUGAUUGAUAAACAUUUGAGUGAGUGGCGGACGGGUGAGUAACACGUGGGUAACCUGCCCUAAAGUGGGGGAUAACAUUUGGAAACAGAUGCUAAUACCGCAUAAAACCUAACACCGCAUGGUGUAGGGUUGAAAGAUGGUUUCGGCUAUCACUUUAGGAUGGACCCGCGGUGCAUUAGUUAGUUGGUGAGGUAAAGGCUCACCAAGACCGUGAUGCAUAGCCGACCUGAGAGGGUAAUCGGCCACACUGGGACUGAGACACGGCCCAGACUCCUACGGGAGGCAGCAGUAGGGAAUCUUCCACAAUGGACGAAAGUCUGAUGGAGCAACGCCGCGUGAGUGAAGAAGGUUUUCGGAUCGUAAAACUCUGUUGUUGGAGAAGAAUGUAUCUGAUAGUAACUGAUCAGGUAGUGACGGUAUCCAACCAGAAAGCCACGGCUAACUACGUGCCAGCAGCCGCGGUAAUACGUAGGUGGCAAGCGUUGUCCGGAUUUAUUGGGCGUAAAGCGAGCGCAGGCGGUUUCUUAAGUCUGAUGUGAAAGCCUUCGGCUCAACCGAAGAAGUGCAUCGGAAACUGGGAAACUUGAGUGCAGAAGAGGACAGUGGAACUCCAUGUGUAGCGGUGAAAUGCGUAGAUAUAUGGAAGAACACCAGUGGCGAAAGCGGCUGUCUGGUCUGUAACUGACGCUGAGGCUCGAAAGCAUGGGUAGCAAACAGGAUUAGAUACCCUGGUAGUCCAUGCC
Molecule: ribosomal RNA, 813 nt
Filed under: uncultured Lactobacillus sp.
Lineage: Bacteria; Bacillati; Bacillota; Bacilli; Lactobacillales; Lactobacillaceae
Description: bacterial SSU rRNA
Rfam family: Bacterial small subunit ribosomal RNA
Source: RNAcentral